GUGCCAGCCGCCGCGGUAAUACGGAGGGGGCUAGCGUUGUUCGGAAUUACUGGGCGUAAAGCGCGCGUAGGCGGGCUGGAAAGUUGGGGGUGAAAUCCCGGGGCUCAACCCCGGAACUGCCCUCAAAACUGACAGUCUGGAGUUCGAGAGAGGUGAGUGGAAUUCCGAGUGUAGAGGUGAAAUUCGUGGAUAUUCGGAGGAACACCAGUGGCGAAGGCGGCUCACUGGCUCGAUACUGACGCCGAGGCGCGAAAGCGUGGGUAGCAAACAGGAUUAGAUACCCUGGUAGUCCACGCCGUAAACGAUGAAUGCCAGACGUCGGGCAGCAUGCUGUUCGGUGUCACACCUAACGGAUUAAGCAUUCCGCCUGGGGAGUACGGCCGCAAGGUUAAA
Molecule: ribosomal RNA, 393 nt
Filed under: uncultured bacterium
Lineage: Bacteria
Description: bacterial SSU rRNA
Rfam family: Bacterial small subunit ribosomal RNA
Source: RNAcentral